This 189-nucleotide unclassified non-coding RNA is filed under the name fungal sp. RNAcentral's name for it is "partial internal transcribed spacer region". The record is from RNAcentral. Lineage: Eukaryota; Fungi.
AAGUCGUAACAAGUUUUCCGUAGGUGGAUCAUUAACACGUAUCCAACGUUAAAACCCCGUGAACCUUCAUUAUGCUGGUCUGACCCUCUUCCCCCACGAUCACAACCAUUGCACGAACAUGGAGUGCUUUAGGCAGCACCCACCAUCAAAUGUUUAAAACAACUGUUAACAAUGGAUAUCUUGGUUCUC